AUCGCUUCUCGGCCUUUUGGGUAAGAUCAAGUGUAGUAUCUGUUCUUACCAAUUUAAUAUCUGAUAGAUCCUCUAUCCGAGGAUAUUAUAUUAAGUGGGUUUUUGGAGCUGGGAGAUGGAAUAGCAACUUGCUCCGUCCACCCCGCGCAUCGAUCCGGUAUAGCAUUACUCCGGGAACGGUGCCUCCCCC
Phyllostomus discolor (pale spear-nosed bat) is the source of this 190-nucleotide small nuclear RNA. RefSeq annotates it as U2 spliceosomal RNA. The transcript has a single exon. Lineage: Eukaryota; Metazoa; Chordata; Mammalia; Chiroptera; Phyllostomidae. The record is from RefSeq and is a predicted model, not a curated record.